RNAcentral lists this long non-coding RNA (4309 nucleotides) under Mytilus galloprovincialis (Mediterranean mussel). Lineage: Eukaryota; Metazoa; Mollusca; Bivalvia; Mytilida; Mytilidae. The record is from RNAcentral.
UAGUCUCGAUCACCCAGACGCAUUAUGAAUAUAGCGUCUGGAUUUUUGUGACUUUGGAUUUCGUUCAUAGAUGGCGUUUUAAAAUUUGGUAAUGACCUUGACCACAUCUUCCCGGAAGAUAAACACUUCAAGAAUAUGGAUGAAAACAUGCGGCAGUGGUAGACCAGAGUUGAGAGUUUCAGUGUAAAAUGAAACUUUUAAACAGCAUGGAAACUGGAAGAAACUAGACAAUUAACUUAUUAAGGUUCAUGUGUACGAAUGUUUCUUUUAAUAGGGUAGGUAAAAGGUAGGUUUUUUUACUAGAAAAAAGGGGGGGGGACUCUCAUAGAGGUGUACAGUAGGUUGUAAUCAUGGAUUAGUUUGCAAAAUCCUUGUAACAACUAGUAUCAUAAAAUAAGAUGUUUAGAUAUUAUGUAGUUUUAAAUAUUUUACCUUAUGCAUCGAUCACUGAAAUCUGAGACUACUAUAACUGUAUAAGUGUGUCUCAUUGGGGUCUAAGCAGUACAUAGGAUUGCCAUUUUUUGUAAGCGUGACUCGUGAAAGUCAAAUUAUUGUGACGUGAAAACCAGAAAUGAAGUACAUAGUGUAAGCGGGAUAUGGGAAUGUGACAAAUCAGUAAGUGGGAUCCGUGAUCAGAACCCCCCCAAUGAGACCCCCUAUAACACAGUAGUCUCAGCUGAAAUGCGCAUUUGCCAUGAUUUGCCAUUUGGUAAAUAGAAUAGAAAGGAAUAGAAUACUUUAAUUCACCAAAUUAUGGCCCAGGAGGGCAUAUAGCAUACAAACAAUAUUAUUAUAAACAAUAACAUAUGCAGUACACAAACAAUAAAUAUGUAACAUGUGUAAUAAAAAUAUAUAAAUACUACAGGAAACAUGGGUAAUACACCCAACAAAAUAGCAAUAUAUAAUAAUUUAAUUAGUACUGUGUUGACAUUGACCCUAGAGCACCAGGUUAGUGUAUUUUCACUAUAAAAAUUCAAACAAGAGGCAUGAGAAGUUUAUGUGGAAAAAUCUCAAUAUAAAAAAAAAAAAAGGAUAUUUAAUAUGACUAAUCUGCAGUAAGCACCAAGAAUUGAUACUUAAAAGGAAGUCCCUUCUUGUACUUAAUGCAGAUGAGUCAAACUUCUUAAAUAUAUAAAAUAUAUAUUUUAAACACAUAUUUUUAAGAUUAUAGAUACUGUGUCCAGUCAGCAAAGAUCUUCAAGGGACGGUGCAAGAGAAUAUGAAAUUCUUAGAAUAAGACAAGUUAUCCUCAUGCUAUAUAUGAGGAGGGGCAAAAGGGGGUCUGUUAACAUGUUAACAACACCUUGAUAUUUUGGCAAAAACAGUUAACAAAAAAUGCAAAAAUACUGAUAACAGUUACGUAACAUAAUGAUUUCCCCCCCCCCCCCUAUAUGGAUUAUGCCAAUUAGAAUGCAUAGUGGUCCUAAAUUCCAUUUGAAAAAAACAUGCCUAAGGAAGACUUUAUACAUGUAUGAUGUAUAUACAAAAACAUUUGACGAAAAAUUAUAAACAACAGAGUGAAGAGGGUGGUAUUCAUGGUAACUUUAUGAAACUAACAAUUAAACAAAUACAGGUUUACCGUUGUAACAAUUGUUGAUUGCCAUAAAAGGCUGAUUAAUUAGUAUUGAGAAUGAAAUAAAAAAAAUAUGUCCAACAGAAUACAAUAUAUUUAUAUAACUAUCUAUAAUAUAUGUAUAAAGUAUCUGCAUUGAGUUGCAUCUGAAAUAGUAAAAUACUGACAUAUUAAAUCUUUUCCAGGUCAGUUAUCUGUAUUGAAUGGCUGGAGAAUACAAACCUAGUACAAAUGUAUAUAGAGGAAUGAAGAGGCCUCACAUAUAACUGACUGUCAUUGGGUAAUUUUAUUAUUAACAAAAAAUUGAGAAUGGAAAUGGGGAAUGUGUCAAAGAGACAACAACCUGACCAAAGAGUAGAAAACAGCCAAAGACCACCAAUGGAUCUACAACACACUGAGAAAAUCCUACACACAGAGGCAUGCUUCAGCUACCACCUAAACAAAAAUGUGUACUACUCCCCGGAAACAUGUGGUCAAGGUGAUAAUGAAUGUUAUACUAGACUCCAAAAUUAAAAUGAACUAAAAUUAAAAAUCUUAAAAAAAUAACAAAGGCUAGAGACUCCUGACUUGGGACAGGCGCUAAAAUGCGGUGGGGUCAAACAUGUUUUGCAAGAUCUCAACCUAUCCUAAUACCUCUAUAGCUAGCCAUUGUAGAAAAACAAAAACAAUAUGCACAGUAAAUCUCAGUUUUAAAGAAGUCAUAGUCCUACAUUGUAUGUCAGAAUAGGCAAAAUGAUAGGAAAUAAAACAAAAUAAGCAAAAUGACAACUAUACAUAAAUUUACAAAGGACUACUAGCAGUUACUGACAUGUUCCUCAGACAUAUGUGAACUUAACUAAAUGUCAUACACUAUAUGUUUUAUCACUUUUUGACUUUUUUUUAGCACAUGAAAUAUAUAUUGUACCAUGUUUUUUUAAGAUUUUUUUUGUUGGUACCUUAUAAAUACUGGUAGGACAUGAAUUACCAAUAAGAAAAAUAAUUUCUUUGGUUUUAUUCCAAUACAGAUACAUGAAGUCAGACUAAAUGUUUUUGAACCUUGCAUAUCUACUUGAACUUGUUUCAUAGUUUAGCAAAAUUACUUUAUUCAGUAAAAUUUCUAAACAAAUGUAUAGUUUUGUAGACAUUGGCCUCAUAAAAAUUAGAUAUAGGAAGAUGUGGUGUGAGUGCCAAUGAGACAACUCUCCAUCCAAAUAACAAUUUAUAAAAGUAAACCAUUAUAGGUCAAUGUACGGCCUUCAACACAGAGCCUUGGCUCACACCGAACAAAAAGCUAUAAAGGACCCCAAAAUUACUAGUGUAAAACCAUUCAAACAGGAAAACCAACGGUCAAAUUGCAUUUUAUUAAACUUGGUCAAAUUAUAUUUCAGCAAAAGGCUUUGCCAUCCAAUACAUUUCAUCUUGGAUGAAAAAGAACAACAGUCUGAUGAUGGUGACAGGUCAAAUUUACCUAACAGGUAACACAUACAUACAUAACAUAUUUGUUUUAAGGUUUUAAGGCUAUUUAAACAUACAUGCAUGCAUAUUGGGACCAGGGAAGACACUUAGAGAUCCAAAGUUACAAUGUGUGGUUGGGUUAAUUGCAAUGAAAAUGUUAGUGAAAUUCUCAAUUGGCUUCUAUCAGUUGUAACCCUAUUAUGAAUGUGUUUUCCUGUGUACAAUGUGUGAUUAAAAGUAAGAGCCUAAGGCUUUAUAAUGCAUACUCCUUUUUAUUGCUUAAGUUUAAAUUUAACAAUAUUAACUAUAGUUGAAAAAUCUGUAUUUUUCAUCUGUUUUAUUUAUCCUUCCAUGGAUGGGCACUUGUUGUUUAACCUACAUGUACAUUAUUGUUAUGUUAGUUUAGUAAAUUAUUAAUAAUGGAUUAAACCCAGAUUUUGGUUAAAUAUAGCCUCCUUUUGUUGUGCUUGAUAUCCUGAUUUUUUUUAUAUAUUAAGAUAAGUAAGUUAACACUUAUAGACAUACUCCAACAAAUAUAAUAUUUUUUAACAACCAGUAUAUAUUUUAAAUGGAGAGCGUUGAAAGAGAGAGUCGAAAAAAAACAAUGCACAAAAACCAGAACAAAUUGAAACAAAUGCAUGACACAAGUGUGUUGAAAAACAAAAGGAAUGUUUCUCUGUUUAACGAGUUAUUGUAUGGACUACAAACACAAUACAAACCCUCUUAAAACCCAGGUUAUAUCAGGUGUUAAGAGUCAGCAUACACUGCUUGUAUAUGAUUUAUAGUUCAUAACAGUCUGUCAUUCUGUACCUCUGUCAAACCUUGUAAAUUAGCCAUACUUGGUAUAUAGAAUAAAGAUUAUUUGUACACAAUGAUUUUCAAUGUAAAGUUUCACACUAUAUAGGAAAAUAACUUUGUAUAAUUUUCAUAUUUCUGUUUCCUGUAAACUAGUAACGAUUACCAGUAUAGUUGUAUAGUUCUAAGCAUUUUGUCAAACAUAUAAACUUGUAAUAAUAUUCCCUGAACAUUUUGGUACAGGAUUGUGGGUAAAACUCUUAAAAUAUAAAUAUUUCUGUAACAAUUGUACAUGUAAUAACAAUUAACCACUUCAUGAUAUCCAUUACCAAAAAUGUUGUAUAGUCUGAUUAUAACCACAGAAUUUACUUUGCUUUUCAGAUACUAGUGAAGAAAUAAAGAAACAAGAGUAGACACCAUUUGACCAACUGUGCUUACAAUACUUGUGCAACAGUUGUGAUUGAUGUCCAUAUUACAUUGUAGUAUGAUAAUACUUUACAGCAUCAA